AGGUGCUGCACGGCUGUCGUCAGCUCGUGUCGUGAGAUGUUGGGUUAAGUCCCGCAACGAGCGCAACCCUCGUCACUAGUUACUAACGGUUCGGCCGAGGACUCUAGUGAGACUGCCUUCGUAAGGAGGAGGAAGGUGAGGACGACGUCAAGUCAUCAUGGCCCUUACGGCUAGGGCAACACACGUGCUACAAUGGUUGGGACAGUGAGACGCAAUACCGCGAGGUGGAGCAAAUCUAUAAACCCAAUCUCAGUUCGGAUUGUUCUCUGCAACUCGAGAACAUGAAGCUGGAAUCACUAGUAAUCGUAGAUCAGCUAUGCUACGGUGAAUACGUUCCCGGGUCUUGUACUCACCGCCCGUCACACCAUGGGAGUUGAUUUCACCCGAAGCGGGGAAGCUAAAUUGGCUACCCUCCACGGUGGAAUUAGCGACUGGGGUGAAGUCCUAACAAGGUA
This 455-nucleotide ribosomal RNA is filed under the name uncultured bacterium. RNAcentral describes it as "bacterial SSU rRNA". It matches the Rfam family "Bacterial small subunit ribosomal RNA", at positions 1036 to 1498 of the family's 1533-position model. The record is from RNAcentral.